RNAcentral lists this long non-coding RNA (1893 nucleotides) under Penaeus monodon (black tiger shrimp). Its description in RNAcentral is "uncharacterized LOC119595650". Lineage: Eukaryota; Metazoa; Arthropoda; Malacostraca; Decapoda; Penaeidae. The record is from RNAcentral.
CUGGCCAAGAUACCUGCUAUGGUUAUUUUUUAAUAGUUGUAAAAUCUGCUUUCUACCUCACUCAUAAUAAAUAUUUGACAAUGUCACCUGUUUAUAGUGACACUCAUUGAGCAAACAUAAAUAAAGCUUUUUUUAUUAUCAGUUAUAUCAUUAUCAUUACUAAAAUAAAUCAUAUAAUUAUUAACCGUGAUUGUAAAUUGGCAUUAAUUUCAUAGAUUAUUAUUCUCAUUAUUAUCCUUAUUAUCACUGUCAUUACUGCUGUCGUUGUUGUUAUUAUUAGUAUUUCACUAUUAUUAUUAUCAUUAUUGAUGUUAUUUUCAUUAUUACUAUUACUGUCAUUAUUAUUAUAAUUAUUAUUAUCUUCAUCAUCACCACCAUCAUCACCAUUGCCAUUCUACUCUCUCACUAUCCUCACUAUAGUAAUUACACUCGCACCUCACACAUCAUGAGCUGAUAAAAUUGUUCUUAGGUGCAGCCGGCUUUCAACACACAGCUAUCCAGGAUCUGUUUUUCCUUUCGACCUUUUUCUCUGUCCUUAAUUCCUUCUUUCUCUAUAAUAUCCAUGUGUUCUUACCUCAUGGUACCUUUUGCGUUGGAUUAAGGUGAGAGGAAUGGAGUGAAGAGAUGUGCAGUAUGCACUGGUAUAAAAGAAAGAAAAAAGACGGAUAAAAGUGAUAAAGAACAAAAUCCUUAAUUGAUUGAAUCCGAAAGAGAAGAACAGAAACAGAAAAAGAAGGAGAUUUUGAGAGUAUUAUAGAAUCGCAUGAAGGUGUCUAUAAUCGUUCCAACAUGGACAAUUCUGCACUUGGUAAAAAUAUAUAUAUACGAAAAAAAAGUUGGUAUUUCCACAAUCCUCUCUGUGACAUUCUUGGAAAACUUUAAAUCGGCGGUGCAGCCUGGAAAAGACCGAAGUUUCAAGUCUCUGCCGUUGGAAGUUAAGAACGAGACUUUCCAUUUACAUCUUUUAUAUACAAAGGCUUAAAUAAAACAGGGAAUGGACGUCUUGAGGCUUAAAUAAAACAGGGAAUGGACGUCUUGGGAGAGAGGAAAACAACAAAUCACCGUCAUCAGAUCUCCUUUGAUAAUGGAUCCCAACUUUCUAUGGAUGGUGACAUAUUCGUCUGGGCGAAGAGAGAAGCCACGUAAUAAUUAACGUCUCUUCUCAGUCUCUUUUUCACGAGGAAUCAAUAAAUUACAAAACAAGAUGAGAGAAAACAGUGAAACAAAACAGAGGAAGAUAAAUCAGUGAAACAAAAAUCAAAGAAAGAAAAGCUAGAUAAACAGAAAACAAAAGAAGAAAAAUGAAGGAAUCAAAGGAAAAUGAAAAACGCGAAUUUGUAGAAAUUAAAAAGAGAGAAAAUAAACGCAAAUUAAAAUAAUUUCUAGAUAAUAUAUGCCAAAGAAGUAAAAGCGUAGAAAAGGAACAUAAAUCUAAAGGGACAGAAGUCAGUACAAAGAGACUGGAUUAAUCUGAACACCAACAGAAAAGAAAUUAAGAAAAAGGAACACACACAAGAAAAAGAAAAGCUGAAGGUAGCUAGCUACCAGGAAACUGAAAAAAAUAGUUAUAAAGAAGAGGGGCGAAACCCCUUGCGUGGUGAUUUUUUGGUUGGUCGACGCUGUGUGGAGGGUUGGAGGCAUGUUUUAAUUGGUUGAAUAUCAUAGAGCCAGGUCAGUUUCAUACGAGACACCUUUAUUUUCGUCUGCCAAGUGUUAUCAUAGCAGGAGAUGGUCCUGUAAUGGUAUCCAGUUGCAGGCGAGACCCUCGCCUGCCUCCUUUCCAUCUCGUGUGAGGUGGAACCGAAGUCCAGUGGGUCCCUCUAUUUUAUAUUUAUUUGAACAACUUACCGCUUGGACAUAGUGAUCUGCAAAAAAGAAAAGAAAAAAAAAAAA